Molecule: ribosomal RNA, 2902 nt
Filed under: Salmonella enterica
Lineage: Bacteria; Pseudomonadati; Pseudomonadota; Gammaproteobacteria; Enterobacterales; Enterobacteriaceae
Description: bacterial LSU rRNA
Rfam family: Bacterial large subunit ribosomal RNA
Source: RNAcentral
UUAAGCGACCAAGCGUACACGGUGGAUGCCCUGGCAGUCAGAGGCGAUGAAGGACGUGCUAAUCUGCGAUAAGCGCCGGUAAGGUGAUAUGAACCGUUAUAACCGGCGAUUUCCGAAUGGGGAAACCCAGUGUGACUCGUCACACUAUCAUUAACUGAAUCCAUAGGUUAAUGAGGCGAACCGGGGGAACUGAAACAUCUAAGUACCCGAGGAAAAGAAAUCAACCGAGAUUCCCCCAGUAGCGGCGAGCGAACGGGGAGGAGCCCAGAGCCUGAAUCAGCAUGUGUGUUAGUGGAAGCGUCUGGAAAGGCGCGCGAUACAGGGUGACAGCCCCGUACACAAAAGCGCACAUGUUGUGAGCUCGAUGAGUAGGGCGGGACACGUGGUAUCCUGUCUGAAUAUGGGGGGACCAUCCUCCAAGGCUAAAUACUCCUGACUGACCGAUAGUGAACCAGUACCGUGAGGGAAAGGCGAAAAGAACCCCGGCGAGGGGAGUGAAACAGAACCUGAAACCGUGUACGUACAAGCAGUGGGAGCACAGGUUUACCUGUGUGACUGCGUACCUUUUGUAUAAUGGGUCAGCGACUUAUAUUCUGUAGCAAGGUUAACCGCAUAGGGGAGCCGAAGGGAAACCGAGUCUUAAUUGGGCGUUAAGUUGCAGGGUAUAGACCCGAAACCCGGUGAUCUAGCCAUGGGCAGGUUGAAGGUUGGGUAACACUAACUGGAGGACCGAACCGACUAAUGUUGAAAAAUUAGCGGAUGACCUGUGGCUGGGGGUGAAAGGCCAAUCAAACCGGGAGAUAGCUGGUUCUCCCCGAAAGCUAUUUAGGUAGCGCCUCGUGAACUCAUCUCCGGGGGUAGAGCACUGUUUCGGCUAGGGGGCCAUCCCGGCUUACCAACCCGAUGCAAACUGCGAAUACCGGAGAAUGUUAUCACGGGAGACACACGGCGGGUGCUAACGUCCGUCGUGAAGAGGGAAACAACCCAGACCGCCAGCUAAGGUCCCAAAGUCAUGGUUAAGUGGGAAACGAUGUGGGAAGGCCCAGACAGCCAGGAUGUUGGCUUAGAAGCAGCCAUCAUUUAAAGAAAGCGUAAUAGCUCACUGGUCGAGUCGGCCUGCGCGGAAGAUGUAACGGGCUAAACCAUGCACCGAAGCUGCGGCAGCGACGCUUAUGCGUUGUUGGGUAGGGGAGCGUUCUGUAAGCCUGUGAAGGUGGCCUGUGAGGGUUGCUGGAGGUAUCAGAAGUGCGAAUGCUGACAUAAGUAACGAUAAAGCGGGUGAAAAGCCCGCUCGCCGGAAGACCAAGGGUUCCUGUCCAACGUUAAUCGGGGCAGGGUGAGUCGACCCCUAAGGCGAGGCCGAAAGGCGUAGUCGAUGGGAAACGGGUUAAUAUUCCCGUACUUGGUGUUACUGCGAAGGGGGGACGGAGAAGGCUAUGUUGGCCGGGCGACGGUUGUCCCGGUUUAAGCGUGUAGGCUGACUUUCCAGGCAAAUCCGGAGAGUCAAGGCUGAGGCGUGACGACGAGGCACUACGGUGCUGAAGUAACAAAUGCCCUGCUUCCAGGAAAAGCCUCUAAGCAUCAGGUAACAUCAAAUCGUACCCCAAACCGACACAGGUGGUCAGGUAGAGAAUACCAAGGCGCUUGAGAGAACUCGGGUGAAGGAACUAGGCAAAAUGGUGCCGUAACUUCGGGAGAAGGCACGCUGACACGUAGGUGAAGUGGUUUACCCAUGGAGCUGAAGUCAGUCGAAGAUACCAGCUGGCUGCAACUGUUUAUUAAAAACACAGCACUGUGCAAACACGAAAGUGGACGUAUACGGUGUGACGCCUGCCCGGUGCCGGAAGGUUAAUUGAUGGGGUCAGCGCAAGCGAAGCUCCUGAUCGAAGCCCCGGUAAACGGCGGCCGUAACUAUAACGGUCCUAAGGUAGCGAAAUUCCUUGUCGGGUAAGUUCCGACCUGCACGAAUGGCGUAAUGAUGGCCAGGCUGUCUCCACCCGAGACUCAGUGAAAUUGAACUCGCUGUGAAGAUGCAGUGUACCCGCGGCAAGACGGAAAGACCCCGUGAACCUUUACUAUAGCUUGACACUGAACAUUGAGCCUUGAUGUGUAGGAUAGGUGGGAGGCUUUGAAGCGUGGACGCCAGUCUGCGUGGAGCCAACCUUGAAAUACCACCCUUUAAUGUUUGAUGUUCUAACGUGGACCCGUAAUCCGGGUUGCGGACAGUGUCUGGUGGGUAGUUUGACUGGGGCGGUCUCCUCCUAAAGAGUAACGGAGGAGCACGAAGGUUGGCUAAUCCUGGUCGGACAUCAGGAGGUUAGUGCAAUGGCAUAAGCCAGCUUGACUGCGAGCGUGACGGCGCGAGCAGGUGCGAAAGCAGGUCAUAGUGAUCCGGUGGUUCUGAAUGGAAGGGCCAUCGCUCAACGGAUAAAAGGUACUCCGGGGAUAACAGGCUGAUACCGCCCAAGAGUUCAUAUCGACGGCGGUGUUUGGCACCUCGAUGUCGGCUCAUCACAUCCUGGGGCUGAAGUAGGUCCCAAGGGUAUGGCUGUUCGCCAUUUAAAGUGGUACGCGAGCUGGGUUUAGAACGUCGUGAGACAGUUCGGUCCCUAUCUGCCGUGGGCGCUGGAGAACUGAGGGGGGCUGCUCCUAGUACGAGAGGACCGGAGUGGACGCAUCACUGGUGUUCGGGUUGUCAUGCCAAUGGCACUGCCCGGUAGCUAAAUGCGGAAGAGAUAAGUGCUGAAAGCAUCUAAGCACGAAACUUGCCCCGAGAUGAGUUCUCCCUGAGACUUUAAGUCUCCUGAAGGAACGUUGAAGACGACGACGUUGAUAGGCCGGGUGUGUAAGCGCAGCGAUGCGUUGAGCUAACCGGUACUAAUGAACCGUGAGGCUUAACCUU